Brassica napus (rape) is the source of this 3561-nucleotide long non-coding RNA. RefSeq lists it as uncharacterized. The transcript is spliced from 2 exons. Lineage: Eukaryota; Viridiplantae; Streptophyta; Magnoliopsida; Brassicales; Brassicaceae. The record is from RefSeq and is a predicted model, not a curated record.
UUUUUUAGUUUUUGCGAGAAAAUGUAUUUUUUGGUUAUAGCGGAAAAAUAUAUAUGUAAAAAAAUAGAAUUUACGGUUUGAAAAUAAUAUUUUGAUUUUAAAAGGUCAUUUUUGUCAUUUAUCAUUUUGGACUCAACUAGAUGCAUCCGCAUCUAGAUGCACCAUCAAAACUCACCUUCAUUUGGGUGAGAAUUUGAGAUGAAUUUUUAAAAAUUCAGCCGGUUGAUCCAUCUGGAUGUAGCAUUAUAAUGCACAAAACGAACAUCAAUUUGCAUCUUCACCUAGAUGGAUCACCUGGGUGAGCAGACGAACAAGGUCUAAUUAGGUGGACCACCUGCACGUAUAUGCGGACAUUAGUAUGAUUAAUAUAUAUAUAUAUAUCUUUAUAUAUAAAGUAGUGUUUCAUCCCUUCUGGCGCUGCCACGUCGUUAAGCAGGGGGAGGAAACGCUGUCACGUGUCCCAUUCUUUUAAAAACGCUGCAUUCGUACGGGCUUUGCGUUUUGUUGGGCCAAAUCAUCUCUUUCUCUAGCCCAUAAGGGUAUACUUGAUGAAACACGACGUUUUCCAUUAGGGCCUUCUUCGUCUCUUUUCCGUCUCCAACGCUAAUGGCGAUUGGGGUUUCUAAUACGCUCUUUCAUCUUCUUCUUCACUGUCUGAAACGAUACAUGUAACGGAGUCAUCCUCUUUAAACCCUCAAACGAUCACCCACAAUCUACAUUCAAUGCGACAAUCCCCAAAUCUCGCCUUACGUAAAUCACAAUUCUAGCGUUCUUCAUAUUAGGUCAAUCCAAAUCGGAUCGUAAGAUUUCACCACAUCUGUUCUGAACUUAGAAAGAUGUCUCAGAACGGGAAGAUGGUCCCACCAAAUAUGGAUCAGAACAGUACAAGGCUACUUAAUCUCACAGGUCUCCAGUGAAUCGAUCCUUUCAUCGAGGAGAUCCUUAUCACAACAGCUCAUGUUACCUUCUAUGAAUUCAACAUUGAGAUCAGUCAAUGGGUAAGUUGCAAUCACUAAUCGUAUGAGGUUGUUGAUGUCUGCUUUGUUACUAACUGAUCUGUGUGGUUUUUUUUCUUUUCAAUCAGAGUCGUAAGGAUGUUGUCAAAAGGUGAGUACUUUAGAUCUUCAUCUAUGCGUGAUGUUGACUUUUAUCUUCUAAAAAUCUGAUUUUGUUUUGUUUCAGAAGUAAACAACAACCUCGGUUUCAGUUUAUUGUAAUGAAUCGUUGGAACACAGGUCAGCCAGAGAAGCAUCAAAUUACUUUUUUUUGUUGAUGUCUUUGUCUUUGAUUAGUCGCUUCGUUUUGUCAGUGUUUUAGUUUGUCUAAAGCUAAGGGAUAAGGUUAGGGAAGGUUUAGAUCGUUAGUGAUGUUGCUUACCCGGUGAUUUUGUUUUGAAUUCUUGAUUAAGGAGAUUGUAUUAGUAAUCAUCAGUGUAUUGUUUAAAUUUUGCCUGGGUAGAUAUUCUGGUGGAAGAUCUCCUCAGAGAUUUUGAGCAUGAAGUCCAAGGUCCAUAUUUACUUUAUCGUAACACAUCUCAAGAAGUAAAUGGCAUUUGGUUCUACAAUGAACGUGCAUAUGAGGAGGUUGCACGUCUUUUUGACGGGUACAUAUAUACACAUCACGUUGAAACUGAUUUUUGUGAUUGGAUAAUCGCGAAAAUAAAACUAGCUCCAUGACUCCAUCAUCAUACGUAGGUAUCAUCAAACAAGUAAUAAAAGGAGGAUAUAAGCUCCAUUGAGCCUAUCCACGUAGACAUGAAAAAUCAACCAAUGAAAAACCUUUUCUCUCUUUUUAGAGUGCCACAUCAUUUCAGAGAGAUGGGCGAAAACGGACACGUGCCACAGAAUGACGUUUCGGGUUUUCUUAGCUUCGUCAUCUUCGAUUUUAGCGGUUCAGAUGUCCAUGGCUGCCGACUAAAUAUGGACCUUCUCUUUAACUACACCAUUAAUCCAAUCAUUAAACUACACAUACCUCUCCUACCACUCCGUCCCAUUUAUUCAGUCUCAUCAUCGGCGGAGGUACAACUACAACCUCGAGCUAUAAAUGAGUCCGUUUGAUGCGAUGAACAUCUCCACCGCAAACACAUAAUCACAUUCACUCGAUGUCAAGGCCUUCAAACCCUACACGACUGGGUAUAGCUUGAUUCCUUUUGAAUUGACUUGAUAUCGAGUGGGGUUUGUAACUGGGUGUGGUGUGAUUUUUUAAUCUGUCUUUCGGUUUGCCUUUGAUCGAUUUUUGUGGGUUUCUGUUUUCUCCUCAGUAAUCUAUGAAUCCUUACUGAUCUUAGUGUGGCUUGAUUGUUGUUUUUGGUGAUAUGAUAUUUAUAUAUUCUAAUCAGAUCCGAUAUAGUCUAUGGGGAAGAUUUAUUAUGUCCAUUAACACUUUCGUAAGUCCUUCUGUUCAAGAGUUUGCUUACACAUGUAUAUCUAAAUUUGAGAUGAUAGAGAGCUUUGCAUCAACAGCUUGAAAUGGUUAGACUACCUUGGAGACCACAAAGAGGCUUAUAUGAAAAAUCUGUCUCUGUACUCCGCGCUUGGUUCUUUGAGCAUUUCCUUCAUCUGUAGGUGUUAAUUACAAUAAAUCAUUUUUUGCUUCUCUUUGUUUAAUUAAUAACCAUAUCCAUCUCAAGCUUUUUACAGAAAUCCAAAGGAAUCAGAGCAAAUCAUGCUUGCAUAGAAAACAUCUAUAUCGAAAACAUGGUAAAGGCUAUGAUACUUUGUUGCUGGCUCAAUUUUUGGUCUUCCUUUGAUUUGAGUGGUUCUCUGGUUUUGACAAACUUUAGGUUGUGAAUUGGUUUAUUAAUGCGAGAGUUCGGCUAUGUAACCGAUUAUCAAAGAGACGUAUAAAGAAUAUUUUGGUGAUGCAUCAGAGCUUACACCAAUUCCAGGAUAUCUUCAACGCCUACGAACUGCUCAUCCAGACAGAUUGAGUUGGUGGCACUGUAGGUGUAGUGGAGGUAGGAAUCAAGUUCGCAGAGGUCCAGGCAUGUCUGGAAUGGAGUUCUUUCGACGGAGCGUACGUUUUGUGUAAAGAAAUUUUGUGGAAUCGCUGAUGAGAUAAGAGAGACGAAGCAAGAAACGACUAAAAUGAGAAGGAGGGAAGAAUGUGAAGCCAUGGCUGAUGAGUUCUGGUCUGGUGUUUGAUAAGACACUGGACAUGUAAUCUUUGUUUAUAUAGACUGACCUUAUAGGUUAUGGUGUUUGAUUCAGUGCACUGCAUGCUUAUACGAUGAAGGAAGAAUGAGAGACUGAGAGACUGUUUUGAUUGGCCACAUGAUGAGUUGACUGCUUAGACAAGAAAGUCACCUUCACGAUGUGAAUUGGUGUUUUGUUGUGAAUUAGUGUGUGUGUGUGUGUGUAGAGCAUGUGGACAGUGCGUGUUCUUUCGUUGGUUCACUUACUGCAAGUGGCGUCUCUGAUAUGUACAACACACUAUUUGAUUUAUCUCUAACAUGUUUUUCACCUUUGUAAGAUAGAAUGGAGUGCAAAACGUUUAUUUUGUACCGCUUUAGGAGACUAUUAUCAUGGUACCAGUUUUAUCAAUAUACGACUAUUCAGAAAA